AACCUUUAGCUAAACAAAUAUUAAAGGCAACGCCUGCCCAGUGAACGAUUAAACGGCCGCGGUACCCUAACCGUGCAAAGGUAGCGUAAUCACUUGUCUAUUAAUUGUAGACCCGUAUGAAAGGCAUAAUGAGGGCCUAACUGUCUCCUAUAAUAAAUCAAUUAAACUGAUCUCCCAGUAAAAAAGCUGGGAUAUAAACAUAAGACCAGAAGACCCUGUGAAGCUUAAACUAAACUAUUAAAUCUAAUAAUAAAUCCUUUCGGUUGGGGCGACCUUGGAAACAAAAAGAACUUCCAAAUAUAUGACCUAAUAUCAUACCACUACAGGCCUACAAGCCUAAAUAUAGAUCCAGCUUACCAUUGCUGAAUAAUGAACCAAGUUACUCCAGGGAUAACAGCGCUAUCUUCUUCAAGAGCCCAUAUCAAAAAGAAGGUUUACGACCUCGAUGUUGGAUCAGGACAUCCUAUUGGUGCAGCCGCUAUUAAGGGUUCGUUUGUUCAACGAUUAAUAGUCCU
This 515-nucleotide ribosomal RNA is filed under the name Lycodryas granuliceps. Its description in RNAcentral is "partial 16S ribosomal RNA". It matches the Rfam family "Bacterial large subunit ribosomal RNA", at positions 1816 to 2597 of the family's 2925-position model. Lineage: Eukaryota; Metazoa; Chordata; Lepidosauria; Squamata. The record is from RNAcentral.